Hemicordylus capensis (graceful crag lizard) is the source of this 702-nucleotide long non-coding RNA. RefSeq lists it as uncharacterized. NCBI's taxonomy places the organism in Eukaryota, Metazoa, Chordata, Lepidosauria, Squamata, Cordylidae. The record is from RefSeq and is a predicted model, not a curated record. The transcript is spliced from 4 exons.
AGUGGCCAGCAGCGAGGGUGACAAGGAUGAGCCUCAGCAGCAGGAGCAAUUGCUGUCAUCUCCAUGCCUGGGCUCUGGACUAAGGACUUAUCUAUAAAUUUCUCAGACUAUGACUGUAGAAUUCUAGAGACCACCAUUUAAAGACUGCAGUACUUGGGCCCAGGACUGGAAUACUGGGCCAUGACUGGGCCCCUUGGAUGAUGAGGCCUCCAUGUUCCCACCCAAGGUCCGUUACUCAUGAUGGGAGAGUAUUCCAAAGCCUAGAAAAUAAGACUGCAGAUGAAUUCUUUAAAAGUGCUGUGGACAGUUUGAGGAGGAGAUAGAAUUCUGGCCAGGCAGGGCCCAUCUCUGUUUGCAUGGCUUUAUCCUUCCCUCUGAUUGGGCUUGAGAAGAACCUUCAUGAAAUUGUCAUAGAAACAAACAAUUGCUCUUCAUAGUACCUCGGGGUGUUCUAGAACACCAGGUUAGACUUGAAAGUCUGGGCUGCAUUUCAUGAAUUGUUCUUCAAGAAGUGAUGGAUUAUUUGGAAAUAAUACAUGCUUGGAAACAGUACUAAUACAAACACAGAAUCUACAAAGACUGCAGUUCACAAACUCCUUGGUUGACAGUAAUACAAUAUCAGAAACAUCCCAUUUAUGUUAUGGGCAUGCUCCAGGAGCACUAUAAUUAAUCAGUUUGUUAGAUUGCUGCCACAGUUUGUUU